RNAcentral lists this long non-coding RNA (1532 nucleotides) under Bos grunniens (domestic yak). Its description in RNAcentral is "lncRNA (ENSBGRG00000006344.1)". The record is from RNAcentral. Lineage: Eukaryota; Metazoa; Chordata; Mammalia; Artiodactyla; Bovidae.
UCCAUUCACAGACCUUAAGGCUUUUCCAUAGCCUGGUCCCAGCCCCUUUUCAGCCCCAUUUUCAGUCACACUGCAUUGCCCACUGUUCUUUGAAUCAACAAUGUCUUUUUAUGCCUCCAUGGCUUUGAAUACCUCCAUGCAUCCAACUGAGUAUAGCGAUUAAAGGUGUGGGUGCUAGAGCCAGGCUGCCUCAGUUUGACUUCUAGCCCAGCUGUGACUAGGGAAAGGAGCCCAGGCAUGGACAUAAAUUCUCUGUGGCCCAGGAGUCCUGUCUGUAAUGAGCUUGAUAAUAAAGGUACCUAUCAAUAAAGUUUUAGAAUCUGGAACAUUGCUAGUACUCAAUAAACACUGGCCAGCAUUCUUUCUUACAAAUGUGUGGACAUUGCAUUGGCUUGUCUAUGCCCCUUGAAGGCAGGAACUUUGCCACGUUUCAUUUCUGGAUUCCUGAUGUGUGACUGAGAGUAGGUGCUUAGUUAAUACUGAGUUAGUAAAACAGCCAGCAGUGGUAUCUUAGCAGUGGUGUAAUUGGGGGAGGGGAAGGAAAUCCUCUGAUACUAUAUUAGGUCUUGGGGGGAAGCACAAGAAGGUAGUUAGGGCUAUUUCUAAACAGGCUGGUCCCUAGUGGCUGCUCAGCUUUCAUCAGAUAGGCAACCUGCUUAUCUGCAACAAUGGUUCUCAACUCUGACUACAUAUUAGAAUCACUUGGGAAGCUUUUUAAAAAGGUGAUGCCUGUCACCUUUGCCUACUUAGAGGGUUCUGAUUUAAUUGGUCUGGGUGGAGGUUAGUCAUCGUAGUUUUAAAAAGCUCCCCAGGUGAUUCUAAAGUGCAGCCAAAUUGUGAAGCACGGGCCUGAGAGCAGCUUCGGGCAGCUCUGCUCUUUUAGAUCAUUUGGUUGGCAGUGGCUGGGGAGUCAGACACAGACCUGGCUCCUGGCUUCAGAUCCCUGUGACUACCAAAGAUGCUCACAGCAGGGUUAGCUGUGCUUGGAGGCAGGUGGAUUCUUUACCGCUGAGCCACUGGGGACGCACUCAUUACACAGCUCUGGGCAAAACACAGUGGCUCAGUGGGGAAAGCACUGGUAAACGCAUUCAGGACCAGCGGCAGUGACAGGGCAUGACUCAUUCUGAGCAUGAUGCUCUGAGGUCACUGGAAGCAUCAGCAGUGUCCAAAGACUACCUCUGCUUUGUGGGUGCUUGCUGUGCUUUUCAAAAUGUCUACAAUCAUUCCUGCUGUUCUACUGCUUGACUUUGGAUGGUAACUGGAAAACAUUCCACCACAUUGUUUUGCUAAAAUAUAUUACAUUUUUUGAGAUGUAAAUAUAAAAUUUUAUACCAUCUUAAAAUAGACAAAUUCUGUAUUGAGAGAUACAUACAUUCUAUGAAGUUUGUAUAUUAAAAAACAAAAAGUGUUUUGGAGAGUUAUUUGUCAGGCUGUACUUGCAUAUAUAAAACACUUAAGACAGUGCUUGGCACAAAGAAAAUAUUAGCUUAUUAUUUUACCUUUAAUGACAUAAUGUUCUCGGGGCGGGGGGC